This 270-nucleotide ribosomal RNA is filed under the name uncultured bacterium. RNAcentral's name for it is "partial 16S ribosomal RNA". It matches the Rfam family "Bacterial small subunit ribosomal RNA", at positions 524 to 794 of the family's 1533-position model. The record is from RNAcentral.
UACGUAGGGUGCGAGCGUUAAUCGGAAUUACUGGGCGUAAAGCGUGCGCAGGCGGUUGUGUAAGACAGGUGUGAAAUCCCCGGGCUUAACCUGGGAACUGCGCUUGUGACUGCACGGCUAGAGUACGGCAGAGGGGGGUGGAAUUCCGCGUGUAGCAGUGAAAUGCGUAGAGAUACGGAGGAACACCGAUGGCGAAGGCAGCCCCUGGGAUAACACUGACGCUCAUGCACGAAAGCGUGGGGAGCAAACAGGAUUAGAUACCCGUGUAGU